This 430-nucleotide ribosomal RNA is filed under the name Pseudomonadota bacterium. RNAcentral describes it as "Proteobacteria bacterium partial 16S ribosomal RNA". It matches the Rfam family "Bacterial small subunit ribosomal RNA", at positions 355 to 776 of the family's 1533-position model. Lineage: Bacteria; Pseudomonadati; Pseudomonadota. The record is from RNAcentral.
UGGGGAAUAUUGGACAAUGGGGGGAACCCUGAUCCAGCCAUGCCGCGUGUGUGAAGAAGGCCUUAUGGUUGUAAAGCACUUUAAGCGAGGAGGAGGGUACUGGUAUUAAUACUACCAGGUACUGGACGUUACUCGCAGAAUAAGCACCGGCUAACUCUGUGCCAGCAGCCGCGGUAAUACAGAGGGUGCAAGCGUUAAUCGGAAUUACUGGGCGUAAAGCGCGCGUAGGUGGUUCGUUAAGUUGAAUGUGAAAGCCCCGGGCUCAACCUGGGAACUGCAUCCAAAACUGGCGAGCUAGAGUAGGGCAGAGGGUAGUGGAAUUUCCUGUGUAGCGGUGAGAUGCGUGGAUAUAGGAAGGAACACCAGUGGGGAAGGCGACCACCUGGGCUCAUACUGACACUGAGGUGCGAAAGCGUGGGGAGCAAACAGG